This 43-nucleotide unclassified non-coding RNA is filed under the name Trypanosoma cruzi. Its description in RNAcentral is "guide RNA". The record is from RNAcentral. Lineage: Eukaryota; Euglenozoa; Kinetoplastea; Trypanosomatida; Trypanosomatidae.
AAACAAAACAUAAAGAUAGGUGAAGUGAAUAUUGAGAGAUUUG